CUCCCUGAACAAGGGCUGUAGUCUGAGGCCGAGUUAUUGCGUUAUUAUUGCUGCUACAAUUGCUACUUUUAUUUUUCUAUUAGUGUUAUUAUUUCUGCUAUACCCACCUGGCUUUCAGCAAGGAAAUCUCUGACAGUGCUGGGGUUUUUUUUUUGUUUUUUCAAAAACUCAUAUAUAAGGGUACUUUUACCUCUGGAAGCAGCCAAUAGUUUGGGUGCAGCUCAGUGAAAUUUGCAGAUGAAGAAAAUUCAUCUCAGAUGAAGAAAACUCAUGGAAUUUUCUCCCCCACCAUGGCUUUUCUCCAACAGAAAGGCAAGAUUUCUUGUAAUGGAGAGGAUUUGGCUGAAGCUGAAGACUGAGCCAAACAGGCUGUGAGACACUGCAGAGAGAUCAAAGGGAGUUAAAGGUCCUUAAGAAAAGAAAAAUUGAAUCUCUGCCUCACCAUCCAGACCCAGGUGUGUUGGCCAAAGACGAGCAUCAACACCCUGUUCUCAAGCCUGCUCUGGGGCACAGACACAAGAAAUGGUGAAAGCUCCAGUGCAGGGAGG
Molecule: long non-coding RNA, 548 nt
Filed under: Zonotrichia albicollis (white-throated sparrow)
Lineage: Eukaryota; Metazoa; Chordata; Aves; Passeriformes; Passerellidae
Description: lncRNA (ENSZALG00000001920.1)
Source: RNAcentral